Molecule: small RNA, 112 nt
Filed under: unclassified sequences
Description: DUF3268 RNA
Rfam family: DUF3268 RNA
Source: Rfam by way of RNAcentral
GGCAGGGGUUUGUAUCCAGGCUUUCGGUUCUUCGGGAGAUUCCCGGAGGCAGACUUAGAUAUAAGGAACCGUUACGGAGAAGCAUAGUGAGCAAUCCAUAAUGAUACAGCCC